RNAcentral lists this transfer RNA (60 nucleotides) under Dipodomys ordii (Ord's kangaroo rat). It matches the Rfam family "tRNA", at positions 7 to 64 of the family's 71-position model. From Rfam's summary of the family: Transfer RNA (tRNA) molecules are approximately 80 nucleotides in length. Their secondary structure includes four short double-helical elements and three loops (D, anti-codon, and T loops). The record is from Rfam by way of RNAcentral. Lineage: Eukaryota; Metazoa; Chordata; Mammalia; Rodentia; Heteromyidae.
GUAGCUCAGUGGUAGAGUGCUUGCCUUGCAUGCAUGAGGCCCUGAGUUCCAUUCCUCAGC